AUGGCAGUUCCGCCCACGGGCUCAAGAAUAUCAGCAACGUCGGCUCAACCCGCUAAUUCGAGACCCGCAAACUCAAGACCGUCAACAACAGCAAAUCCGCAUCUGACCUCAAGAACUUCAACGACGGCAAAUUUGUAUGCGACCUCAAGAACUUCAACAACUGCAAAUCCGUAUGCAACCUCAAGAACGCCAACAACGACAAAUCCGCCUGCAACCUCAAGAACGUCAACAAUGGCAAAUCCAUACGCAGCCUCAAGAAUGUUAGCAACAUCAGUAGCGGUGGCUCCUUCUGCGACCUCAAGAAUGUCAACAAGAGCCGCUCCAUCCACGACCUCCAGAAUGUCAACUAGAGCAACGGUGGCCUCAAACCAACCGAGGACACUGCAGCCAGGUGCGCCGACCUCAAAAACGGCUAGGACGAUGGCCCCACCCUUGUCCGCAACGACAAGUCGUAGUCGUGCCGCUCCCACACGUCCAACUGCUUCAAGCACACACCGAUGA
This 501-nucleotide ribosomal RNA is filed under the name Triticum aestivum (bread wheat). Its description in RNAcentral is "partial small subunit ribosomal RNA". Lineage: Eukaryota; Viridiplantae; Streptophyta; Magnoliopsida; Poales; Poaceae. The record is from RNAcentral.